This 4488-nucleotide unclassified non-coding RNA is filed under the name Ceratitis capitata (Mediterranean fruit fly). RNAcentral's name for it is "uncharacterized LOC101457771, transcript variant X5". Lineage: Eukaryota; Metazoa; Arthropoda; Insecta; Diptera; Tephritidae. The record is from RNAcentral.
CUGAGCGUUUAGUUCUUUUUCAGUGUUCGUGUGGAUCGGGUCGACGAACGCGGAUCCGGCAGUAAAACUCUGCUAAACGUCUGUGCAAACGGGCUGCGCGCUAAGUCUCCAACGGCAGCGCCAAACUACUUGGAUCCGAGCGCUGAGGAUAUAGAAGAAUUCUAUGAGUCUGUGUGUGUUCCAACGUACAAAUCGGUGUAAAGUUAUCGCUCAGAUUACGGGUCUGAGUUUUGUUUAUUGAAACAAAUCAUUUGUGUGCAACGAAAUAAAAUUAUUAACAUUAGAUAAGCAGUUUGAUUGUGUGCCAGCGCAGUGAACGUAAUAACAAAUCGAGAUUUGCAGCUGCCGAGGCGAACAGAUGUUACAAAUAAACGAGCAACGCGAAUCGGCUGCCAUUGGAAAUAACUUCAAUGAAAGUACAACAAAAACUAAAACGCAACCAAAAUUACCACCACAAGUGUGUUCCUAACACCUGAGUCGCCUGAACCAAGAACAACGACAACAAAUCCACACUACCAUCGCCAGCACUACGAACAAAGUGACACUUAGCCGCUAAGAGUGCGCCCCCAAGCCAAAGCAUCUUACGCCAGCAACAACGCCACUACCGCCUAACACCGCCGCAAGCACUGCCAUCGUCAAAAGAAUGCCGAUUUGCAAUAAGCCACCACUGCCGGUCGGAACAGCAAAUAGCGUGGACGAGUUCGAUGACCACGCCUCAGAGGUGGCCAAAAUGAGGCACACACGCGAACAAGCCUACUUCAAUUCCUAUAAUUUCGACGCAAUCCCAGUUUUGCCUGUGGAGGAGAGUCUUCCAAAGGCUGGUGGUAGUCAGAGCGGCAACCUAUCUGCAAUUGCAGUAAGUUCUCUCGCUUCCAUGAAAGUGCCACCGUCCCUCGUUGCUUCUAAUAGUCAUCAACAUCAACACCAACAACUCAACACGCUUAAGCCGCUUUAUCGAGGCGCUUCAUCGAUCGCUUCGUCGUCACAAAGCACACGCAGCAGUUUUCAACUGACUAGUAGUGGUCACAGCAGCGAUGCAGAUGAUAGUUACUUGCAGCGUCAUCCACGUAACCGCCAUGAGCAUUCCGGACCGGAAUUAACCUACACAUAUAUGCAACACAUUGGCGCGCGUUUUGCGCGUUCACGCAAUGCUUCUCCAUCAACGUCUGAGGCAGAACUCGGCCGAGACUUCCUAGGCGGCAGUGGUUCAGCUAACAUAGAGACAGUUAAUGUAGGAAGUGUCAUCGUGCCAGCGGACGAAAUUGCACCUGUGCACGAGAGGAAGGGUCCUGGAGAAAUGUCGGAGAAUGGAAGUUUUCUGUUGCCCCGGGCCAUGCUAAAGUAUCAAAGUAUUGGCAAUGUGAAUUCAAUGCCAUCGGCUGCGAGCAGUAGUGGACGCGGGGACAAAUUGCUGCAAAAUAGCCAUAGCAACAACAGCGAAAGCAGCUACAGCAGUAGCAACAACAAAAGUGCCAGUUUUAAUAAUUACAACAACAACAAUAACAAAGUAAGCGGCAACAGCAGCAAGGAGAGCAACGGUAAAGAGUCAAUGAUGGUGAUGACCACCAAUGCCAUUAGCCACAGAAAUACAAAUUACAACAACAACAACAACAAUAACAGCAGCGUUAACAAUGGCAAAAAUAGCAAGUGUAAAGUUGUUGUUUCCUCUGCCGCUACCGCUGCCGCUGCCGCUGCUGGAUCCAACAAUACUAAGGCGAUAAAUACCAACAUCAGCAGCAACAAUAACAACAGCGUUAGCAAUACCAGUAGCAGUCACACCACCAAAAGCAUGCAGAACUAUGCGAACAGCAACGAUGGUUACGCCAGUUUAGUAGUCGCCAGCGACGUCGAUUGUAGUGGUCACGCGCCUUUUAGAGUCGCUCACCAGGCCACGCAAAACAAGCUAAUAGCAAUACCCACGGCAACAACAAAAGCCCCAACAAAAGCCAGCAACACGUCCACCUCGGCGCCGGGUGCAGCGGUGCGCGUCAAAAAACCGUCUACCAGUUCGACAAUUACAACAACAACAAUCGCGUCGAGCAUUAGCUCCGAACACGACGAAGAGUCUUCUGCGUCAGCAUCGAAUACGAGAAAGGGGGGCACAAGCAAAGUCAACCAAACGUCAAAAGGCAGUGCAAGCAAAUUGGCCCAGAGUGGUAGCGUUGAGCGUCGUGGACGCACCAGUUCACAUCAGUCGCACUAUUCGACGGACAAAAGCGGUUCGUCCGGUUACUACAGCUCAAACGUUUGCUCUACUUACUCACUGGAUGAACAUAUCUAUUGUGAACCGGUUGUAGAUAUCCUAGACGUGAAUCGUGGCAGUGGCGUUUCAACCGCUACUACAGCCGCUAGUAAAACUAGCAAAAGCGCGGCAACACUAGAGAGUAAAAAGGCCGCCAACAGUGAGAGUAAUAAAAACAACAAGCAAACACCGUUAGAUAUGACCAGUAAACAAGGAGGUGGUGCAUCUAAAUGUUUUUAUGUACGACGCAGUGUUGUCGGUGCGGCAGCAAGUCGAAACGGCGAAAGUGGUAUUGCGGACUGCAGUGAGUUGGAAGGCGAGGACGAUUGCGAUGGCGAUGGCGCGAAGAAGGCCAGAGCUAUGGCACGUCUUGUAAACUCUAAUGGCCAUCGCAAGGCGAACGUUGAUCUCCAUACCAGUGGGACCAAAAUACCCGCCAGCUUACAAUUCUUAUUACAGCGACAAACCUCCGAUGAUAAUUAUCCUCCAUCUCAGCAUUUUAGCGAGAACUUGCGCAUACUGGAAACGAGCAUCGAGAAUCUCGAUCGCCAUUUGAAAAAUUUUCCGAGUAUAACUUCCCAUGAACGCAUUGCUGCAUUUGUGCAAUCACAUCACCAACAUCUCCAUCAGCAACAUCAUCAUGCCUACUUGCAAACGCCAAUUGGGGAAAGCAUCGGAAGUGAAAAGCUCGCAGCACGUACUCAACAACCGCCACAGACGUCACAUCAACAAUUACCCACCAUUAUGGAAGGUUAUGAUCCCACAAUUCAACCUCAUCGUCCAUGGCCUGAUGAGAUUGUGGAUGACUCAUUGCUCGACAUUGACCUCGACUCAUUUCUCCUAGUCAACGAACGUAAAACUGCGGCCGAUGGCAAGUCGGCGCGCAAAUCGUCAACCAUACCUGAAGUUGGUGGCAUCGACAAUCCUACAUUUCUCACCGAGGAACAGGAAGAGGAGAAUAAUUAUAAGUGUGCAAAAUAUAUUAAUUCCUGCCCUGACGAUGCUUAUCAUGUUGAAAGCGAUAUAGUCACCGGCACUGGAACAGUUUCGGAGAAGUCUGUAUCGGUCGGCGAUCACUAUAUGAAACGGUACGAGGAUCAGUUGCACUUUCAAAGUACACGCGAGCUACUCGAAGAUGUGCGUGACAAAAUACGUUUGCUCUCGCAGACGGGCAAUAGUAACAGUCCGAGUUCGCACGGUGCCGGAGGACAAUUUAGCUUGGCCGCGCCUACCGAGCAACUGCCACGCGAAUUGGAGGGCAUGAUUAACACACUGAAGAGCGAGCUAGAAAACUAUUUAGAUCGCAUGAACCAACAUAGUGAACUCGAGAUUCGCCAGUUGUGUAGCGGCCUAGUGCGUAAUCACAACAUAGUUAAAAUGAAGAAGGCAUUCGAACGACGUCGCUCGACGCACAGUCUCGGUACAAUCGAAUCGGAUUACGGUUAUCUAGGUAAUUACGAAGCCAUCUGCAAUGGUGUGCCGACAAGUAUUCGCGAACAAAUUGUUUCGAUACGCUGCGUGAGUGAUCCUAACUUUAAAAUGAAACGCAAAUCCUUAACGGAGGUAUUUCCCGUGUCCGAUUGUUAUACAGAGUCUGAUACUCUCGCUGCGGUGCAACAGCAACAGCGUCGCCCGUCUAUACCGCGUCGCGAACGUGAUAACGCCGAACACAGACAACGUGAGCACGAUCGAAAUGUGAUCACCUUGCAUGUGCCCACAAGCCUACUGCAAAGAAAUCUUUCUUUCCAACAACCAGUACUAAAUAAAUUGGAUGCAAAGUCAUUACCAACGCCGAUGACAGAUGCGGAAGUGAGUGGGGAGGGUAAUAAUGCGAAAAGUAGCGAGGGUGGGGGCGGCGGUAACGGUUGCGGCGCCGAGUCGGGCGAAUCGGGUGAUAAGGAGACCAUUUUGGAGUGGCAUCGGAAGAAACCGAGUAUUUGGGAAAUGUACUACGGUACAAAUCGAAUGAAUCAGUCUUUGUUGGGCAAACGCAAUGGCAUGGUCACAAACAACAACAGCCAGGUCACAAUGUCAUACGAUGUUUUGGGUCUCCAUCUUGCUGGAAGAUGUCAAAGAAUUCAGGCAAAUUGAUUUCAAAUACCAAGAUAUUCUUCCUUUUUCAUAAUCCUCUCAAUUUUCGUAAGUGGAACAAGAUACCAACAGCCAUCAUCACGUCCGGAGUCUGAUUUUACUUUGGAUCUGCCGCGUGCGGAACAGCUACGCAUUAAAAUGGAAAAAGAAAAGAA